UUACUUUCCACAGUACAUAUACUAAAAUAAGAAAGACAAAGAUUCAAAUUGCCACUGUAAAAGGAAGACACUCAAGUUCAUGAAGUGUCCUAGAUUUUU
This 99-nucleotide small nuclear RNA is filed under the name Sciurus vulgaris (Eurasian red squirrel). Lineage: Eukaryota; Metazoa; Chordata; Mammalia; Rodentia; Sciuridae. The record is from RNAcentral.